Molecule: ribosomal RNA, 452 nt
Filed under: uncultured Oomycota
Lineage: Eukaryota; Oomycota
Description: LSU rRNA
Rfam family: Eukaryotic large subunit ribosomal RNA
Source: RNAcentral
GUGCGAGACCGAUAGCGAACAAGUACCGUGAGGGAAAGAUGAAAAGAACUUUGAAAAGAGAGUUAAAGAGUACCUGAAACUGCUGAAAGGGAAUCGAAUCGUUUCCAGUGUCUAUAAUCGAUGGCAUAUUUCAUUGGCGAGUGAGUGCGUGCAGCGUUUUGGAAGUGGUUUUCCGCUCCUGUCGUUGUUGUGCAUUUGCUUGCUGGUGCCCUGUGCUGUGGUGGGACGUCAGAGUCAGUUUGUGUGUCGCGGGAAAUGGUUAUUGGGGAGGUAGGUCGCUUCGGUGGCUAUUAUAUCCUGGUAACUAGUCGUCGUGGCUGAGACUGAGGUGCCUACAAUGUGCUUUCGAGUGUGCGGGUUUCUCGUGUGGCUGUUGCUUUGAUAGCUUGCUAUGUUGGUGAAUAAGUUGUGCGAUUGAGACCUGUAUUAACUUGUUGCUGUUCGGGACUUUG